This 297-nucleotide unclassified non-coding RNA is filed under the name uncultured Cortinarius. Its description in RNAcentral is "sequence contains ITS2". The stretch from base 1 to 52 matches the Rfam family "5.8S ribosomal RNA", at positions 103 to 154 of the family's 154-position model. Lineage: Eukaryota; Fungi; Basidiomycota; Agaricomycetes; Agaricales; Cortinariaceae. The record is from RNAcentral.
AACGCACCUUGCGCUCCUUGGUAUUCCGAGGAGCAUGCCUGUUUGAGUGUCAUUAAUAUAUCAACCUCCUCAGGUUUUUACUUGUUGAGUGUUUGGAUGUGGGGGUAUCUUUUGCUGGUCUUUUUUGAGGUCGGCUCCCCUGAAAUGCAUUAGCGGAACAAUUUGUUGACCGUUCAUUGGUGUGAUAACUAUCUACGCUAUUGACGUAAAGCAGGUUCAGCUUCUAACAGUCCAUUGACUUGGACAAAUUUUCAUUAAUGUGACCUCAAAUCAGGUAGGACUACCCGCUGAACUUAA